Callorhinus ursinus (northern fur seal) is the source of this 213-nucleotide non-coding RNA. NCBI's taxonomy places the organism in Eukaryota, Metazoa, Chordata, Mammalia, Carnivora, Otariidae. The record is from RefSeq and is a predicted model, not a curated record.
GGUCCCAUGGUAGAGGAGAAAUUACUUAAAACAGGGACUCUGGAUAAAGUCCAGCGGCCUGGGUUGGAAUCCUUCUGCUACCUGUAACCAGUUGCAUGACCUAAGGCAAGUAAUUUCAUCUCUGUCUCAGUUUCCUGGUCUGGAAAAUGGGGAUAAUAAUCUCAACUUCCUGUUGGUUUGCUGCGAGUUUUAAAAUAGUUAUUGUAUGCAGAG